AGUCGAGGGGUAACAGGGGUAGCAAUACCUGCUGACGACCGCCGUAAAGGUGAGUAACGCGUAUGCAACCUGCCCUAUACAGCUGGAUAGCCCGGAGAAAUUCGGAUUAAUACUCCAUGUAGCAUUUUUUUCGCAUGAAUUAGAUGUUAAAGAUUUAUCGGUAUAGGAUGGGCAUGCGUCCCAUUAGCUAGUUGGUGAGGUAACGGCUCACCAAGGCAUCGAUGGGUAUGGGGUCUUAAAGGAUGGUCCCACACACUGGCACUGAGACACGGGCCAGACUCCUACGGGAGGCAGCAGUGAGGAAUAUUGGUCAAUGGGUGAGAGCCUGAACCAGCCAUCCCGCGUGCAGGAUGACGGUCCUAGUGAUUGUAAACUGCUUUUCUAUGAGAUGAAUAAGAAUUACGUGUAGUUCGAUGACCGUAUUAUAGGAAUAAGCAUCGGCUAACUCCGUGCCAGCAGCCGCGGUAAUACGGAGGAUGCAAGCGUUAUCCGGAUUUAUUAGGUUUAAAGGGUGCGUAGGUGGGCGUUUAAGUCAGUGGUUAAAGCCAUUAGCUUAACUAAUGUAUGCCAUUGAUACUGGAUGUCUUGAAUGUGGUAGAGGUAGGCGGAAUGUGUUGUGUAGCGGUGAAAUGCUUAGAUAUAACACAGAACACCGAUUGCGAAGGCAGCUUACUAUUCCAUUAUUGACGCUGAUGCACGAAAGCGUGGGGAUCAAACAGGAUUAGAUACCCUGGUAGUCCACGCCGUAAACGAUGGAUACUAGGUGUAGGAGGUAUCGACCCCUUCUGUGCCGGAGUUAACACAAUAAGUAUCCCACCUGGGGAGUACGGCCGCAAGGCUGAAACUCAAAGGAAUUGACGGGGGCCCGCACAAGCAGUGGAGUAUGUGGUUUAAUUCGAAGCAACGCGAAGAACCUUACCAGGGCUUGACAUCCCUCUGACAGGUAUAGAGAUAUACUUUCUUUUCGAAGCAGAGGAGACAGGUGGUGCAUGGUUGUCGUCAGCUCGUGUCGUGAGAUGUUGGGUUAAGUCCCGCAACGAGCGCAACCCCUGUUGUUAGUUGCCAUCAUUAAGUUGGGCACUCUAACGAGACUGCCGGUGACAAAUCGGAGGAAGGUGGGGACGACGUCAAAUCAUCAUGCCCCUUAUGUCCUGGGCUACACACGUACUACAAUGGCGGUGACAAAGGGAAGCAAGACCGCGAGGUGGAGCAAAUCCCCAAAAGCCGUCCCAGUUCGGAUUGUGGGCUGCAAUUCGCCCAUAUGAAGUCGGAGUUGCUAGUAAUCGUGAAUCAGAAUGUCGCGGUGAAUGCGUUCCCGGGUCUUGUACACACCGCCCGUCACACCACGGAAGUCGGAAGCACCCGAAGCCAGCUACUUAACCGUAAGGAUGGGGCU
This 1396-nucleotide ribosomal RNA is filed under the name uncultured prokaryote. RNAcentral's name for it is "bacterial SSU rRNA". It matches the Rfam family "Bacterial small subunit ribosomal RNA". The record is from RNAcentral.